Molecule: ribosomal RNA, 406 nt
Filed under: uncultured bacterium
Lineage: Bacteria
Description: partial 16S ribosomal RNA
Rfam family: Bacterial small subunit ribosomal RNA
Source: RNAcentral
AAUGAACGCUGGCGGCGGGCCUAACACAUGCAAGUCGAACGAGUGGCGGACGGGUGAGUAAUGUCUGGGAAAUUGCCUGAUGGAGGGGGAUAACUACUGGAACCGGUAGCUAAUACAGCAUACCAUCAGAUGUGCCCAGAGGGGAUUAGCUAGUUGCUGGGGUAACUGCUCACCAAGGCGACGAGCCCUGGCUGGUCUGAGCGGAUGACCAGCCACACUGGAACUGAGACACGGUCCAGACUCCUACGUGAGGCAGCAGUGGGGAAUAUUGCACAAUGGGCGCAAGCCUGACUGAGCCACGCCGCGUGUAUGAAGAAGGCCUUCGGUUUGUAAAGUACUUUCAGCAGGGAAGCGUUACCCACAGAAGAAGCACCGGCUAACUCCGUGCCAGCAGCCGCGGUAAUAC